UACGUAGGUGGCAAGCGUUGUCCGGAAUUAUUGGGCGUAAAGCGCGCGCAGGCGGCUGGGUCAGUCCGAUGUGAAAGCUUCCGGCUUAACUGGGAAACAGCAUCGGAAACUGCUCGGCUUGAAGGUGGGAGAGGGUAGCGGAAUUCCCGGUGUAGUGGUGAAAUGCGUAGAUAUCGGGAGGAACACCAGUGGCGAAGGCGGCUACCUGGCCCAUUCUUGACGCUGAGGCGCGAAAGCUAGGGGAGCGAACAGG
This 253-nucleotide unclassified non-coding RNA is filed under the name uncultured Chloroflexota bacterium. RNAcentral's name for it is "uncultured Chloroflexi bacterium contains 16S-23S intergenic spacer region". It matches the Rfam family "Bacterial small subunit ribosomal RNA", at positions 524 to 776 of the family's 1533-position model. Lineage: Bacteria; Bacillati; Chloroflexota. The record is from RNAcentral.